Molecule: ribosomal RNA, 365 nt
Filed under: uncultured Rhodoferax sp.
Lineage: Bacteria; Pseudomonadati; Pseudomonadota; Betaproteobacteria; Burkholderiales; Comamonadaceae
Description: bacterial SSU rRNA
Rfam family: Bacterial small subunit ribosomal RNA
Source: RNAcentral
CUCGAAAGAGAGCCGUAACACAGGUGCUGCAUGGCUGUCGUCAGCUCGUGUCGUGAGAUGUUGGGUUAAGUCCCGCAACGAGCGCAACCCUUGUCAUUAGUUGCUACAUUCAGUUGGGCACUCUAAUGAGACUGCCGGUGACAAGCCGGAGGAAGGUGGGGAUGACGUCAAGUCCUCAUGGCCCUUAUAGGUGGGGCUACACACGUCAUACAAUGGCUGGUACAAAGGGUUGCCAACCCGCGAGGGGGAGCCAAUCCCAUAAAGCCAGUCGUAGUCCGGAUCGUAGUCUGCAACUCGACUACGUGAAGUCGGAAUCGCUAGUAAUCGUGGAUCAGAAUGCCACGGUGAAUACGUUCCCGGGUCUU